Molecule: unclassified non-coding RNA, 218 nt
Filed under: Hevea brasiliensis (rubber tree)
Lineage: Eukaryota; Viridiplantae; Streptophyta; Magnoliopsida; Malpighiales; Euphorbiaceae
Source: RNAcentral
AUAAGCCUCUUGGAAAUUUGAAACUAGUGGACCUCAGCGGCUCUAGGAACUUGAUUAGGAUUCCAGACUUGUCUAGUACCACAAAUCUUCAGUUUUUAUAUUUGAGGAAAUGUGAAAGUUUGGUUGAGAAUCCUUCAUCUCUUCAAAAUUUGAGCAAGCUUGCUGAACUAGAACUAGAUGGAAAUGGAAUAGAGCAACUGCCCUCAUCAAUUAAGCAU